This 409-nucleotide ribosomal RNA is filed under the name Actinomycetes bacterium. Its description in RNAcentral is "Actinobacteria bacterium partial 16S ribosomal RNA". It matches the Rfam family "Bacterial small subunit ribosomal RNA", at positions 355 to 776 of the family's 1533-position model. Lineage: Bacteria; Bacillati; Actinomycetota; Actinomycetes. The record is from RNAcentral.
UGGGGAAUAUUGCACAAUGGGCGGAAGCCUGAUGCAGCGACGCCGCGUGGGGGAUGAAGGCCUUCGGGUUGUAAACUCCUUUCGACAGGGACGAAGCUUUUGUGACGGUACCUGUAUAAGAAGCACCGGCUAACUACGUGCCAGCAGCCGCGGUAAUACGUAGGGUGCGAGCGUUGUCCUGAAUUACUGGGCGUAAAGAGCUCGUAGGUGGUUUGUCGCGUCGUCUGUGAAAUUCCGGGGCUUAACUCCGGGCGUGCAGGCGAUACGGGCUGACUUGAGUGCUGUAGGGGAGACUGGAAUUCCUGGUGUAGCGGUGAAAUGCGCAGAUAUCAGGAGGAACACCGAUGGAGAAGGCAGGUCUCUGGGCAGUAACUGACGCUGAGGAGCGAAAGCAUGGGUAGCGAACAGG